AUGCACCACGAGGAGGACGUAGACGAGCAGCAGCAGGUGGUGCGCGUACCAGAAGGCGUUGAAGCCGGCCAGGUGGUGCAGCGGCGACGGCAGCUUGACGACGCUCCGCCUGAAGGUGUGCAUGGCCAGCGUGAAGGAGAAGGUCAUGAUGAUGAUCAUGAGGAUGCCGGUGACGCCGGGGGCGCUGGCCAGCAGGUCCGGGUACGUCGGCUGCCUGAAGCCGAAGUUGGGGCCCAGCAGGGCCAUGAACUUGUCGCUCGGGCAGGAGACGAGCCUGGGGAAGUCGCAGGUGACGUGGGCGAGCGUGUGCACCACCGUGCCGACGGCGAUGGCGCCGGCGAGCACCUUGUGGAAGUUGAUGUUGUCGUCGAAGGGGAUGACGUGGCUGAGCGCGGUGGAGCGGAGGGUGGUGAGCGUGUUGCGGCAGACGGGCAGCAGGAUGAGCGCCAUGUUGAGCUUGAGCGUCUCGGCGGCGCCCUUGGCGACGCAGACGCAGUUGCCCAUGACCUGGAAGGAGGACCGGCGCUUGUACUGCUCGAACUUGUAGACGAAGAGGGCGAGGUUGGCGGCCAGCCAGAGCGUCACCAGCCAUAUCCGCUUCCAGUUCUCGUGGGCGAAGUCCAUGGUCCUGGUGACGUGCCGCUUCAGCGGGCUCCGGUACCGCAUCGGGAUCAUCGUCCUCGCCAGGCUCGACGUCGUCCGCUUCAGCUUCACCUCCGGCGCCUGCGCGCUCACCAUCCCGCGCAGCAGCGUCUCCAGCUGCCAAAUCUGCAUCGGAGGUUUGGAGGUCAGCGACUCGCGCUCUCUGAUGUUCCGACAUGGCGACCACUACUAGUAGUCUGUCAUUACUGCCGUACCUCGAUGUAG
RNAcentral lists this ribosomal RNA (867 nucleotides) under Triticum aestivum (bread wheat). RNAcentral's name for it is "partial small subunit ribosomal RNA". Lineage: Eukaryota; Viridiplantae; Streptophyta; Magnoliopsida; Poales; Poaceae. The record is from RNAcentral.